CAGUCGCCGCGGUAAUACGUAGGGUGCGAGCGUUAAUCGGAAUUACUGGGCGUAAAGCGUGCGUAGGUGGUGGUUUAAGUCCGUUGUGAAAGCCCUGGGCUCAACCUGGGAAUUGCAGUGGAUACUGGGUCACUAGAGUGUGGUAGAGGAUAGCGGAAUUUCCGGUGUAGCAGUGAAAUGCGUAGAGAUCGGAAGGAACAUCUGUGGCGAAGGCGACUAUCUGGGCCAACACUGACACUGAGGCACGAAAGCGUGGGGAGCAAACAGGAUUAGAUACCCCAGUAGUCCCUGUCUCUUAUAC
RNAcentral lists this ribosomal RNA (301 nucleotides) under uncultured bacterium. Its description in RNAcentral is "partial 16S ribosomal RNA". It matches the Rfam family "Bacterial small subunit ribosomal RNA", at positions 509 to 807 of the family's 1533-position model. The record is from RNAcentral.